RNAcentral lists this ribosomal RNA (253 nucleotides) under uncultured bacterium. Its description in RNAcentral is "partial 16S ribosomal RNA". It matches the Rfam family "Bacterial small subunit ribosomal RNA", at positions 524 to 776 of the family's 1533-position model. The record is from RNAcentral.
UACGCAGGGGGCAAGCGUUGUCCGGAUUUAUUGGGCGUAAAGAGCGUGUAGGCGGUUCGGUAGGUCCGUUGUGAAAACUCGAGGCUCAACCUCGAGACGCCGAUGGAAACCAUCGAACUAGAGUCCGGAAGAGGAGAGUGGAAUUCCUGGUGUAGCGGUGAAAUGCGCAGAUAUCAGGAAGAACACCCGUGGCUAAGGCGGCUCUCUAGUACGGUACUGACGCUGAGACGCGAAAGCGUGGGGAGCGAACAGG